CCCUUAGAUGUUCUGGGCCGCACGCGCGCUACACUGUUUGAUUCAGCGAGUCUUAACCUUGACCGAAAGGUUUGGGUAAUCUUCUAAAGUCAAACGUGAUGGGGAUCGAUCAUUGCAAUUAUUGAUCGUGAACGAGGAAUUCCUAGUAAAUGCAAGUCAUCAGCUUGCGUUGAUUACGUUCCUGCCCUUUGUACACACCGCCCGUCGCUACUACCGAUUGAAUGGUUUAGUGAGAUCUCCGGAUUGGCUCUGUAGGUCCCGCAAGGGAUUUAUUAGUAGCCAAGAAGCUGCUCAAACUUGAUCAUUUAGAGGAAGUAAAAGUCGUAACA
Molecule: ribosomal RNA, 329 nt
Filed under: uncultured eukaryote
Lineage: Eukaryota
Description: partial 18S ribosomal RNA
Rfam family: Eukaryotic small subunit ribosomal RNA
Source: RNAcentral